UAGAUAAAAAAAUGGUAAAAAUCAUUAGUUUCUGGUCUGUAUGGUUUUGCAGUACAGAUUAAUUCCCAAUUGAUAGUAUGUCUUUGUUUCUGUCUUUAAUAGACCAGAUUAAUUUACUAAGACUUGUUUGGAAUCUUUUAUUUUCAUCUCUAAAUGAACUCAAAUGAUUUGGCAGUCUCCUCUU
Octopus sinensis (East Asian common octopus) is the source of this 184-nucleotide long non-coding RNA. RefSeq lists it as uncharacterized. The record is from RefSeq and is a predicted model, not a curated record. Lineage: Eukaryota; Metazoa; Mollusca; Cephalopoda; Octopoda; Octopodidae. The transcript is spliced from 4 exons.